AAAAAUUGGCAUGUCGCCCAUUGCUGAAUGACCCUAUUGGCCAAAACUUGUAGGUGCUCCAAAGAAGUAAUUGGGUCUUCCCACCCACAAGUACUGCCGAUUACUGCCUUUCCCCCUUGUUUUCCACAGGGAUCUGCUGAUUUGUGCUGGCAUUUCUUGCCUCUUGUAUGCAUAAGAAGUUGGAAUCAUGGCCAGAGGAGGAAGUACAGGCCAAAGUGGAAGAAAUGCUCCACACUUUAGCCCCUUUUGAGCUUGCUUAUUUGCAAAGGCGAACAAAGCAAAAAGUUUACAGGUCGGGGUUGUUCCUUACUGCAGGGCUGAGAGAGGUCUGUGGAUUUCAGACAGCAGCAUGAGACCCGAGGUCUGGAGGUGCAUCCUGAUCCUGGCUGAGGUUGGUCAACCUGGGCAGGGGUCAGUCAAAUCCCCAAGAACCCCCUAGAGCCCCAGCAGGGGUUGGAGGGCCUGAGGUAUACCGGUCUUUGUUCCUGCAAUGAUCCACUCAGGAUAUUUCUCCCUUGUGGAUUCCUCAACCACCAUCUAACAAACGGCUCUGGAGGCCCUUUCACCCCAUCCAGCUCGUUGGCUGCCAAGCCCCAGCUCACCCACAGGUCCCUGUCGAGAAGCAGCGGUGGAGCAUGGAGUGGGGCCCAGGUGAGUGGGCCAAGGCAGGCAUGACUGGUGGCCAUGAGGAGCCCAACAUGCAGGCACCUCAGGCCAGGGCCCAGGCCAGCCAAUCCACGCCCACCUGUCACCCUGCAGCAGCCAGGCCUGGGCCUAUACUAACACCUGCUGCAGAAGCCAGCUCCAUGCAGUGCUGCAGCCCCAUCCCAGGACCUCCCCCUCCACCUCUGACCUACCCUGAGGAAAUGGACGAUGGCAGAGAUGAAUGGAAGUUGGGACCCCAGAGUUGACCCACAGUAUUAGUGCGUUUCCAAGCCCUCAUUAGCAUAAGUUUGGGCCAAUAGCAGUGACCCAAGUGCUCUAUAAAGCCCCAGAGGGACUCACUCUCUGGGGGAAGCUUGCUGAAGGUCCUCCAUUGCCCGGCAGGGAUUCUUUCUGUUGUUUUAAUGACUCCUGCUCUUCUGUUCUGAUUUUGGUCUAUGGACUUUAUUUUUUUUAACUCAUCAGACAAGAACCUUGAAAGAACAAGUUGUGGGUGAGCUGGGGUUUGGUGCAACACUGGAAGCAGAGUCUGCCACCCAGAGCUGACGUACAUUUUGACUGUUGAGGGCUGCAACUUGUGCAGACCCCCACCAGUGAGCAGCGAGGGGAGUCGAGCUUCACCAGGUUUCACUGUGUCGGAGCUGGGCCUGUUUUGUCCCAGGGCUACCUCUGAGGCAGCACGCAAGA
This 1350-nucleotide long non-coding RNA is filed under the name Marmota monax (woodchuck). Lineage: Eukaryota; Metazoa; Chordata; Mammalia; Rodentia; Sciuridae. The record is from RNAcentral.